Molecule: ribosomal RNA, 253 nt
Filed under: uncultured bacterium
Lineage: Bacteria
Description: partial 16S ribosomal RNA
Rfam family: Bacterial small subunit ribosomal RNA
Source: RNAcentral
UACGUAGGGUGCGAGCGUUAAUCGGAAUUACUGGGCGUAAAGCGUGCGCAGGCGGUUCUGAAAGUCAGCUGUGAAAGCCCCGGGCUUAACCUGGGAAUUGCGGUUGAAACUACAGGGCUAGAAUCUGGCAGAGGGGGGUGGAAUUCCACGUGUAGCAGUGAAAUGCGUAGAUAUCAGGAGGAACACCGAUGGCGAAGGCAGGUCUCUGGGCUGACACUGACGCUCAUGCACGAAAGCGUGGGGAGCAAACAGG